This 423-nucleotide long non-coding RNA is filed under the name Triticum aestivum (bread wheat). RNAcentral describes it as "long non-coding RNA (TAES_LNC018337)". Lineage: Eukaryota; Viridiplantae; Streptophyta; Magnoliopsida; Poales; Poaceae. The record is from RNAcentral.
UCCCGGUUCACCUGGGCCCUUUAGUCCCGGUUGGUGCCACGAACCGGGACUAAAGGGUGCGAUGCCCAUUAGUACCGGUUGGUGGCACCAACCGGGACUAAAGGUUAGACCUUUAGUCCCGGUUGGUGCCACCAACCGGUACUAAUGGGCUUUGAGGCAUUAGUACCGGUUCAUGGCACGAACCGGUACUAAAGGGCCCAUUUUCAAACUCUACCCCCCCCCGACCGCCUUUUCAGUUUUAGAAAAAACAAAAGAAAAUGAUGGAAAUGUCAAAAAAAUAAAAUAAAAUAAGUUUCCCAUGUGAUAUAUGGUCUAGUUGUUGGGAAAAUUAACAAAUAUGAAUUUCGACUUUAUUUGCAAAAUCUCUCUGGAAUUUCUUAAAAUGGGCAUAACUUUUGCGUACGAACUCGGAUGAAAAAGUUU